GCUCGAGGUCAGUUUGUCGCC
This 21-nucleotide microRNA is filed under the name Eugenia uniflora (Surinam cherry). RNAcentral describes it as "eun-miR10221-5p". The record is from miRBase by way of RNAcentral. Lineage: Eukaryota; Viridiplantae; Streptophyta; Magnoliopsida; Myrtales; Myrtaceae.